RNAcentral lists this ribosomal RNA (379 nucleotides) under uncultured eukaryote. RNAcentral describes it as "partial 18S ribosomal RNA". It matches the Rfam family "Eukaryotic small subunit ribosomal RNA", at positions 592 to 976 of the family's 1831-position model. The record is from RNAcentral.
CAAUAGCGUAUAUUUAAGUUGUUGCAGUUAAAAAGCUCGUAGUUGGAUUUCGGAUGGGAUUUGCCGGUCCGUCGUUACGAUGUGCACUGGCCAGUCCUAUCUUGUUGUCGGGGACUAGCUCCUUGGAUUAACUUCAUGGGACUAGGAGCUGACGAGGUUACUUUGAGUAAAUUAGAGUGUUCAAAGCAAGCCUUCGCUCUGAAUACAUUAGCAUGGAAUAACACGAUAGGACUCUGGCUUAUCUUGUUGGUCUGUGAGACCAGAGUAAUGAUUAAGAGGGACAGUCGGGGACAUUCGUAUUUCAUUGUCAGAGGUGAAAUUCUUGGAUUUAUGAAAGACGAACUUCUGCGAAAGCAUUUGUCAAGGAUGUUUUCAUUAA